Molecule: ribosomal RNA, 497 nt
Filed under: uncultured bacterium
Lineage: Bacteria
Description: partial 16S ribosomal RNA
Rfam family: Bacterial small subunit ribosomal RNA
Source: RNAcentral
GAUGAACGCUGGCGGCGUGCCUAAUACAUGCCAGUCGAGCGAACAGACGAGGAGCUUGCUCCUCUGACGUUAGCGGCGGACGGGUGAGUAACACGUGGAUAACCUACCUAUAAGACUGGGAUAACUUCGGGAAACCGGAGCUAAUACCGGAUAAUAUAUUGAACCGCAUGGUUCAAUAGUGAAAGACGGUUUUGCUGUCACUUAUAGAUGGAUCCGCGCCGCAUUAGCUAGUUGGUAAGGUAACGGCUUACCAAGGCAACGAUGCGUAGCCGACCUGAGAGGGUGGUCGGGCACACUGGAACUGAGACACGGUCCAGACUCCUACGGGAGGCAGCAGUAGGGAAUUUUGCGCAAUGGGCGAAAGCCUGACGGAGCAACGCCGCGUGAGUGAUGAAGGUCUUCGGAUCGGAAAACUCUGUUAUUAGGGAAGAAAAAAAGUGUAAGUAACUAUGCACGUCUUGACGGUAACUAAACAGAAAGCCACGGCUAACUACGUG